RNAcentral lists this ribosomal RNA (217 nucleotides) under Klebsiella pneumoniae. RNAcentral describes it as "partial 16S ribosomal RNA". It matches the Rfam family "Bacterial small subunit ribosomal RNA", at positions 42 to 257 of the family's 1533-position model. The record is from RNAcentral. Lineage: Bacteria; Pseudomonadati; Pseudomonadota; Gammaproteobacteria; Enterobacterales; Enterobacteriaceae.
GCAGGCCUAACACAUGCAAGUCGAGCGGUAGCACAGAGAGCUUGCUCUCGGGUGACGAGCGGCGGACGGGUGAGUAAUGUCUGGGAAACUGCCUGAUGGAGGGGGAUAACUACUGGAAACGGUAGCUAAUACCGCAUAAUGUCGCAAGACCAAAGUGGGGGACCUUCGGGCCUCAUGCCAUCAGAUGUGCCCAGAUGGGAUUAGCUAGUAGGUGGGG